GAUGAACGCUGGCGGCGUGCCUAAUACAUGCAAGUCGAGCGAACGAACAGGAAGUUGCUUCUCUUAUGUUUGCGGCGGGCGGGUUAGUAACCAGUUGGAAAACUACCUUUUAGACUGGGAUUAAUUCGGGGAACCCGAGCCUAUACCGGAAUAUAAUUUUGACCGCCUUGUUUCAAAAUGGAAAAAGGUUUUUGUGUUACUUAUAAGUGGGUCCGCGCUGCAUUAGCUAGUUGGUAAGGUAACGGCUUACCAAGGCAACGAUGCAUAGCCGACCUGAGAGGGUGAUCGGCCACACUGGAACUGAGACACGGUCCAGACUCCUACGGGAGGCAGCAGUAGGGAAUCUUCCGCAAUGGGCGAAAGCCUGACGGAGCAACGCCGCGUGAGUGAUGAAGGUCUUCGGAUCGUAAAACUCUGUUAUUAGGGAAGAACAUAUGUGUAAGUAACUGUGCACAUCUUGACGGUACCUAAUCAGAAAGCCACGGCUAACUACGUG
RNAcentral lists this ribosomal RNA (496 nucleotides) under uncultured bacterium. RNAcentral's name for it is "partial 16S ribosomal RNA". It matches the Rfam family "Bacterial small subunit ribosomal RNA", at positions 28 to 507 of the family's 1533-position model. The record is from RNAcentral.